This 425-nucleotide ribosomal RNA is filed under the name uncultured bacterium. Its description in RNAcentral is "partial 16S ribosomal RNA". It matches the Rfam family "Bacterial small subunit ribosomal RNA", at positions 354 to 796 of the family's 1533-position model. The record is from RNAcentral.
GUGGGGAAUAUUGGACAAUGGGCGCAAGCCUGAUCCAGCAAUGCCGCGUGGGUGAAGAAGGUCUUCGGAUCGUAAAGCCCUUUCGACAGGGACGAUGAUGACGGUACCUGUAGAAGAAGCCCCGGCUAACUUCGUGCCAGCAGCCGCGGUAAUACGAAGGGGGCUAGCGUUACUCGGAAUUACUGGGCGUAAAGGGCGCGUAGGCGGCUCUGUUAGUCAGGCGUGAAAUUCCUGGGCUUAACCUGGGGACUGCGCUUGAUACUGCAGGGCUUGAGGCCGAGAGAGGGUGGUGGAAGUCCCAGUGUAGAGGUGAAAUUCGUAGAUAUUGGGAAGAACACCGGUGGCGAAGGCGACCACCUGGCUCGGUUCUGACGCUGAGGCGCGACAGCGUGGGGAGCAAACAGGAUUAGAUACCCCGGUAGUCC